This 310-nucleotide long non-coding RNA is filed under the name Solanum tuberosum (potato). RNAcentral describes it as "long non-coding RNA (STUB_LNC001502)". Lineage: Eukaryota; Viridiplantae; Streptophyta; Magnoliopsida; Solanales; Solanaceae. The record is from RNAcentral.
UCUGAUUCUGAUGUGGUACUGGUUUAUAAACCUGACUUUGUUGGUUUUUUGGUGAUUCCUCUGAUUGUUUUAAGGAUAGCCUCUAAAUUUCUUUUUCUUUUAUGUCUGCCAUUGGUCUUCUUGCAUUUUUUGUUGAUACUGAUGAGUUCUUGCUAGCUAUUCUUUGGUACCUGAAACACUAACAGAAAUAUUAUUCUUAACAGACUGAGAUUUAAUUAGUAGAGUAGUUACCUGAGUGUCAUUUGCUUGGGUUAUUUUGUUUUGUUCUUGUUUGCUGCUUCCACCUCCUCUCUUCUUCUAUAUUCAUCAU